RNAcentral lists this long non-coding RNA (765 nucleotides) under Trifolium pratense (red clover). Its description in RNAcentral is "long non-coding RNA (TPRA_LNC007369)". Lineage: Eukaryota; Viridiplantae; Streptophyta; Magnoliopsida; Fabales; Fabaceae. The record is from RNAcentral.
CUACACCCCAACCCAAUUGCUUCCUACACCACAACAUAACAAGACCAAGCCCAACUCUUGUUUCAUUCAUCAUUCAUCAUUCAUUCAUCAACAACACAGUUAUCACCAUUCAUCAUUCAUCAACAACAACACGAAACAACAACAUGAAAUCAUCAUCAUCAUCAUCAUCAUCAUCGCAGAAACCAUCGCCAUCAUAACCGUCACCAUUCAUCGCCAUCACUAUCACCGUUCAUUGCCAUCACCGAUUUCAUCAACAUCGCCGGGAACCAAACCACAACAUCAUUCAUCAUCAUCAUAACCGUCACCGUUCAUCGCCAUCACCGAUUUCAUCAACAUCGCCGGGAACCAAACCAUAACAUCAUCACGGGUAUCAUCAUCAUCACCAUUCUUCCUUAAGUUUCUUCCUCAAAUGAUGAAAACAAAACAGGUUCGAGCUUAUUGUACUUAAUUUCUUCCUCAAAUUUCUUGUGCUUUCAAGUAAUUGCAAUUAGUUUUGAAAGUGUAACCCUAAUUGACAGUUUAAUUUGUGUUAGUUGGAAAUGGUUUUGUUGUUGAGUUUGGAAAGUAAUUGCAUUUGUGUAACCCUAUUUGAUAGUUUAAUUUUGAAUUGGAGAAAAUCAACUCAAAAAAAUAGUUUAAAAAUUGUAUAUGUUAGUUGGAAAUGGUUUCAGAGUGUUGAUUUGGUUCACUGCAUGUGUGGAAUAGUUUCAGAGAGUUGUACUCCAAAACCAUUAGAUGUACUUAAUAGUUUUUAUGUUAAGUGUG